UCUCCGUUGGUGAACCAGCGGAGGGAUCAUUACUGAGUCUAACAAACUCCCAAACCCCUGUGAACAUACCUACUGUUGCUUCGGCGGGACCGCCCCGGGCGCCUUCGCGGUGCCCCGGAACCAGGCGCCCGCCGGGGACAUCAAACUCUUGAUUUUACAGCGUCUCUUCUGAGUGGAUUAUACAAAUGAAUCAAAACUUUCAACAACGGAUCUCUUGGUUCUG
This 223-nucleotide unclassified non-coding RNA is filed under the name root metagenome. RNAcentral's name for it is "partial contains small subunit ribosomal RNA, internal transcribed spacer 1, and 5.8S ribosomal RNA". The record is from RNAcentral.